GACGAACGCUGGCGGCGUGCUUAACACAUGCAAGUCGAACGGAAAGGCCCUGCUUGCAGGGUACUCGAGUGGCGAACGGGUGAGUAACACGUGGGUGAACUGCCCUGCACUUCGGGAUAAGCCUGGGAAACUGGGUCUAAUACCGGAUAGGAGCCAUUUUUAUUGUGAUGGUUGGAAAGUUUUUUCGGUGUAGGAUGAGCUCGCGGCCUAUCAGCUUGUUGGUGGGGUAAUGACCUACCAAGGCGGCGACGGGUAGCCGGCCUGCGGGGGUGGACGGCGACAUUGGGACUGGGAUACGGCCCAGACUCGAAGGGGAGGCAGAAGGGGGGAAUAUUGAGAAGUGGGGGGAGGCGUGAGGCGGGGAGGCGGGGGGGGGAUGACGGCCUUCGGGUUGUAAAAUCCUUUCGCUAGGGACGAAGCUUUGUGUGACGGUACCUAGAGAAGAAGCAACGGCUAACUACGUG
Molecule: ribosomal RNA, 464 nt
Filed under: uncultured bacterium
Lineage: Bacteria
Description: partial 16S ribosomal RNA
Rfam family: Bacterial small subunit ribosomal RNA
Source: RNAcentral